Molecule: long non-coding RNA, 1227 nt
Filed under: Strigops habroptila (Kakapo)
Lineage: Eukaryota; Metazoa; Chordata; Aves; Psittaciformes; Psittacidae
Description: lncRNA (ENSSHBG00005002663.1)
Source: RNAcentral
AGAGCAGUCUGACCUAACUGGGGGAACAAGACCAAAAAGUAUUAGAGAGCAUCUCAUCAAUCUCUAGUGCCAUUGUUCUGGGAGAAAAUUGCCAUUUGCUGGUUUAAUAUCUGGUAGAGGUAUGGUAUUUUCAAAAGUAUAAUGUGUAACUACAGUAUAUAUAGUCAGCUUCUCUGCAGUGUAAAAUGUAUGAUUUUAGCACCAUAUUGUGGAAAAAUAUGUACCGUGCAGAAUUCACGAGGUGCUACAACUGACGGUUGAAAAUACACACUUGCAAAAUCCAAAAGAGCCGUUAAGUAACAAGUUGUUCUUUUCCCCAUAUGUCCAUAUGUUUGGGAAAAAUUAUGAGUCUGAAAUGCUCUUGACACGUAAUUGCCUCGCGCUCCCUCAUCCAAAAUGUGCCAGUCCAGCAGUGAAGUUACUGACGUAGUGGGUGUGAAGGGAGAGUUUGGGUUUGCCCCAGGAGCAGUGUGCAGUAAGCGUGCGUGCGAGCAGGAGUCGGGACAAGGGGAGAGCGGCCUGCUCUCACAUGAACCUGCAAGCUUUGGUUUCCUGAGCUGGUGGCGUGCAGCCUGCCUUUCUGGCUCUGGCACGGGGCCAGCCGGGCCCAGCAGUUGAAAGAUUAAGAGAUAGAAAAAGAGCCUGUGGAUUUUCUGAGUGACCACCCACUAGUGAGCCGUGAUCUUGGCUUGCAAGCUGACAUUACCACUGUGAUAUAUUAUGAUGCGGAAGUCUCUAGGCACCCCUCGAAUGCAUAAAGAAAUAUCAAUUGCCCUUUGCGGGGGAAAAAAAAAAGGGGGGGGGGAACUAAGCAUUAAACAAAAAAUAAAGGCUUCUGCCUUUUAAAAGUGCAUGCAGCCCUGAAUUCCAAUUCACUCCAGCUUCCUGAUCUACAAAUAGCUUCACGUGCUGCCUAAUUUUUUUACAGAUGAAUUGUGCUACCUCCUCCUCCCAGCCAUCACAGAUUUGUUUAUCAGAGAGUUAGUGCUGUGAGUGAAUCCUGCCGGCUGCUCUGCCAGGGCCACAUCCUGACACUGCUCUGAGCAGGGGCUGCUUUGCACUUCCAGAAGGCCCUCCACCUUUCCAUCACAGUAGUUAUGUAGAGUCUCUAAGCCUUAGGUGCAGAAUUGGAAGCACUAUUCACUAUCUGCACAGGAGAGAAGGCUUUUUAAGACAUUGUUCUGUUAUUGUGAGGGAGAGAGUGGUGUUUGUGAUCCUGACAAUAUC